This 235-nucleotide unclassified non-coding RNA is filed under the name plant metagenome. RNAcentral's name for it is "partial contains small subunit ribosomal RNA, internal transcribed spacer 1, and 5.8S ribosomal RNA". The record is from RNAcentral.
UCUCCGUUGGUGAACCAGCGGAGGGAUCAUUACCGAAGUUACCUUCAAAACCCACUGUGAACCUUACCUCUUGCCGCGUUGUCUCGGCGGGAGGCGGUGUGCGUCGCUCGCCCUAGCGGGCCGCGCCGCUCCCGUCCCCGCCGGCAGCGCCAAACUCUAAAUGCACAGCGGACUGUACGUUCUGAUUUACAAAAAAAACAAGUUAAAACUUUCAACAACGGAUCUCUUGGUUCUA